This 217-nucleotide non-coding RNA is filed under the name Arboricoccus pini. RNAcentral also lists the same sequence under 1 other name. The record is from RNAcentral. Lineage: Bacteria; Pseudomonadati; Pseudomonadota; Alphaproteobacteria; Geminicoccales; Geminicoccaceae.
GGCCACCAUGGGGAGGACGGUGCCCCGUUAAAAUCAGGGGCCGAAAAGGGAAGCCGGAAGCGUGCCUGGAUAUGGCGCUCCAGCCGGCGCUGCCCCCGCAACUGUAAAGGGUCAUGUCCCGCCCUUUCCUGCGCCACUGGCGGCCCUGGCCGCUGGGAAGGCCGGGCAGGACAACGAGGCCCUGAGCCAGGAGACCUGCCGUCGCAGCUUGACGUCC